UGGCGGACGGGUGAGUAAUGUCUGGGAAACUGCCUGAUGGAGGGGGGAUAACUACUGGAAACGGUAGCUAAUACCGCAUAACGUCGCAAGACCAAAGAGGGGGACCUUCGGGCCUCUUGCCAUCGGAUGUGCCCAGAUGGGACUAGCUAGUAGGUGGGGUAACGGCUCACCUAGGCGACGAUCCCUAGCUGGUCUGAGAGGAUGACCAGCCACACUGGAACUGAGACACGGUCCAGACUCCUACGGGAGGCAGCAUG
RNAcentral lists this ribosomal RNA (257 nucleotides) under uncultured bacterium. Its description in RNAcentral is "partial 16S ribosomal RNA". It matches the Rfam family "Bacterial small subunit ribosomal RNA", at positions 96 to 353 of the family's 1533-position model. The record is from RNAcentral.